ACGAGCUGCCAUUUUGGUGUGCUGAAAACAGUAGCAUGUCAGGGACUCAUCGCUCAACAGACAAUGACGCUCUUGCGUUAUUGGCGCUCAAAUCCGCUCCGUCGAGUCCAUCUCGGGUGGUAUGGAGUCCAGAGAGCAAAGGAACCGCAAUUGCGCGGUUGGAAGGAAGAGAGUUCGAAUAUACGAUGCGACAGCCACGGAUUUCCAUAGGCCGAAAUAGCAGCAAGGGAGAGGUCGAUGUCAAUAUGGGCCUCUCAAGUUUUAUUUCACGAGUGCACUUAGAAGUUUUUUUCGAAUACCCAAAUUUCUUCAUGAAAUGUAUGGGUAAGAACGGAGUAUUUAUCGAUGGAGUUUUUCAAAGGAAAGGAGCACCUCCACUGCAGUUACCUAAAACGUGCGCACUUCGAUUUCCAAGCACUAACAUUCGCAUCCAGUUUCAGUCAUUGGUAGAGGAUGUUGCUCCACCAGCACCAGUUCCUAUAAUUCCCUCACCAAAGAAGAGAGUUCCCACAACUCUAAAAAUUCUUAUUCCAGAACCAGAUGCUGUAGCUAGCAGUCCCUGUAUUUCUCCAACAGGCACAAUAAGUGCUGCAAACUCCUGUCCAACAAGUCCUCGAGCAGGUACUCGGCUGUCAGUCGUUCCAGAUCUGCGAGCUGCAGCAGCAUAUGUUGCUGCACACCCAAGAGAAGAAAAAGAAACUCAACCUAGUGGAGAUGACUCCACCCCUAAAGAUGAUUCUAAGCCACCAUAUUCAUAUGCACAGCUUAUUGUUCAAGCUAUAACCUCAGCAGAUGAUAAACAGUUGACACUGAGUGGCAUAUAUGCAUAUAUCACAAAAAAUUAUCCAUACUACCGAACAGCAGACAAGGGUUGGCAGAAUUCGAUCAGGCACAACUUAUCCCUCAAUAGGUAUUUUGUCAAAGUUCCACGAUCUCAAGAAGAACCAGGAAAAGGAUCUUUCUGGAGAAUUGAUCCUACUUCUGAAUCCAAACUAACUGCUCAGGCCUUUAGAAGGCGCAGACAGCGAGGCGUGCCUUGCUUUCGCACACCUUUUGGUGGUCUUUCUUCCAGGUCUGCACCAUCUUCACCCAGUCAUAUGGCAGGUACAAUAACCCCAGACAGCAUGUCUCGAGAGGGUAGUCCCAUUCCUGAAGCUAGCUCUGAGAUGGAAGUAACUCAGACAAGCUUAGCUCCAACCCCAGUCAUUCCCACCUUGGCUGAGCUGAAGUAUUCCCAGUCAGCUCCUGGCUCUCCAGCUGGCUCCCGAACAAUGUCACCAGUGACAGUGAUGUCUGGUACUGUCCCAGGCGUAGCAAUGCAUCAGUUGCCCUCUGUAGUUGGACAGCCCAAGCAAUACAAUCAGAUUCUUGCCAAUGGCCCAGCUACUGCAAAGAUGGCCAAUGGCACUCACAUAGAAAUUAAAAAGGAGACACUUGAUGCUGCUCAGGGUGUGGUGUCCUUGAGCGGCGCCUCACAGAAGAUUGCCUCUCUGAUGGCCACUGCUAGCCAGAACCAGUUUACAUCCCAGACAGGUGCCCCAGCUCCAGGCACUAUGUUGGUGCGCAGCUUCAUGUCUCCUACAGGUCAACCCCAGUUUGCCUCUGACACCUCAGCCUCAACUACUACCAUUGCAGGAGUUGCCCUGGCUGCAGCGCCACCCCUGGCUUUAGUGACAGGACAGCAAGGAGUGCAGCUUCUCCAGCCUGUGAGCCUAGGCCAGUCAGUACUUGCACAGCAGGUGCCUUUGCAAAGUCAACAGCAUCAGCAUCAAGAAGGGCUUAGUCAUGCAUGGGCCACAGCUGAGCAUGGUGAUCUUAAGCCUCAGGCUCAUAUGCUAACUGUAGGUGGAGCUCAUACCAGUCUCAAGCGUGUGGCAGAGGGAGAUGGAGGAUCAGAGGGCAAGCGUUUGAAGGACGAAUCCUCUGCAGACAUGAAAACAGAAUCUGCUGAAUGAAAAUAUGUUUUGACAGAUGGUUUCUUCAUUUGUCAAGACCGGUGUGAUGGUUGCUGUAGGAGCGUUAUACGAAAACUCUGUUUACUGCACCCUCAUUUCAGGCUCUGUGACAUUGAAGGUUCAGUUUGCUGAUAAAUACUUCAAACUGAAAGAGAACAUUAGACAACUUGUAUCUGAGGAAACUGGCCAGAUGUCUGAAACCCAAGGUUUGCAAGGUAAUUGUGUGGUUUUGUAUUCACUUUCAGCAGGUGAUGUUCAUCUGUAUUUUUAUAACAUCAUCAGAUCAAAUUCAGUUGUAGCAUCUUUCAGUCAAUAUUUGAAUGAUGUCUUUAGUCAAAGGCUGUGUUUUGUGUGUGUCCUUAAGUGCAGGUGUAUACAUGAAGUACGUGUGUGGGCAUGCAUGCUGGCAUGCGAAUAAGUGCUUACAUAGUGAAUAUGAGCAAAGGUACAGAAAGAAAAGUGUAUAUGUGCAGAAAGUAGUUUAGGCAGCAAACCUGGCGAUGACAAAAUUAUAGAAAUAUCAUGUUCACUUACCCAUAAUGUGUUUGAAUGAAGUGCAGUUUAUACGUGACAGGUGUGUCUGUAAGGGGAAAGAAUAGAGUCAAGUGUAUUCUCAAGAAGGUUUUUUUUUUAAUUGCCAGUGGUGCAUUUUCGUCCACCAGUUUUAUGUAACCCAGUUUUUGUACAGCAUCAAGAAUAUUCCCUACUGAAAUUUCAGGACCCGUUUGAUUGUCACAGUAAAUAAUCUGUUCCACUUUUUCUAACUGUCCAUUUUUAUUUGCUUAAUCUGUUUUUCAUUGUUGUUCUUUUAACAAAAUUCAUUUUGAUUUGUGGAUCAUGUGAUUUGGAUGUAGAAACUUCGCUCAACUCUGUUUCAGAAAUGUUAUUAAAUCAGAAAGAAUGUUUAUGAUGUCAUAGAGCACACAAUGAUACGUGAUUCACUGCUUGUCUCAUCACUGUAAUAGCCUAAGGCACAUCAUUAGGUUUGUAAGAUGAUAGUUUUCAUGAACUUUAAAUUCUGGACUUUGAUGAGUUAGAUAACCACAUGAUCGUGGUUAGUAAAGAGAAAAAUCUUGGGGACAGAGUUUCCUCUGUUUUUAUGUGUAAAGUGCUAACUUUUGCAUAUAUGCAGAAGACUGAUUAAUGUGUUUAAUCUAUGAGAUCAAGAAAUUUCUGGUUGGCAAUAUACUUUCAUAUUUUGACCUCAUUAGAUCAGAUAAUGCGAAAUUUUGACUAAUGUUACUAAAGCAUUUAAUGAAAAAUACAUACUUCUUACUUGAAUAAAGGGCCAGGUUAGACCUGUUUUCAAUUGGCUUUCAACUCCAGCACUGAAAAGGUGAGCAGUAAGUGUUCUGCAUUUGUAAAUUCUAUAUUAACAAGGAUUAAGAUCUUUUCAAUCGCAGUGAUUUUAUCAUUUUUGUUGCUGUACUUGUGUUUGAUAAGAGGAUGUGGGAGUGCAAGCAGAUUGAGUCACUGUAGCACAUAGUUGAUUUGUUUUCUUUUAUUGCUAACCUGGAAAGCUUGAGGGGGCAUCUGCUAUAAGUUACAUUUAGUUUAUUUAGGUAAGGUAGGUCCACACAAAAGACAUUGAUUAAUUUAUAUACAUUUGUUAUUUUGUUUUAUAUUGUCUUAAGUCUGACAACUUUUUUGGAGGGUUUGUCUUAGGAAACAUGAGAAGUAUUACAUCUGCACAAAGAAGAAAAGUUUUUUUUUUUGUUUCUGUUUUUUUUGUUUUUUUUUUGUUAAGGAAUUUAUACCUGCUUUUGGCAGACUAAACUGAGGUACAUGUGCAUGUCCAAAUGUUGAACACUAUUAAGCAUACAGUUUACCUGUUAAAAUUAUUUUUAAAAAUGUUCAUUCUUUAUAUGGUGUAAUAAAGUAGAAUUGCAGAUGCUUGUAUUAUAAAAGUUUGUUUUUCUGCUCUUAAUUUCAAUGAUGUCAUAGGUUUUUUGCUAUUGACAGACAAGCUAAAUUAGAAAAAAUGAACACAACAGAAUGAAGGGUUGGAAUUUAAUUGAAUAAUGUAUGUAGAUUUCCACUGUAAAUAUAUGAUAAGUGAAAUGUGUAAUGUGAAGUCAUAUCUAUGUUGGCUUUGCUUUAUUUAAACAAAUACAAAAUAUAUAUGGAACUAUUUGAUUGUUUCCUGUUUAAAAGGAGAACUAUUUAGUUCAAGUACUAUUUUCAAAGCCUCUCAAAACUAUUCAAAUCUUGGGUUAAUACUUUUCUGGGUAAUAGCUAAGGUAUUUUGGGGGAAAGGCAUUUUUAAGUUGACGGUGAGGUGUGCUGUCUUCUAUGUUUACAAACAUUUCAAGUGCAAGUGGGAGAACUUAAGAUUUUAUUUUUAAUGGCUGCAAAGAUCCUUAAACUUUUAUUCAGCAGCCAGCAACCCCCAUCUGUUCCCUUGGUAUUUAUUGUAGUAUGCACAUGAAACUUAAAAUCCUGAAGUAAACAUUUGUAAUAUGCCCCGAAACAUGACCCAUUCCCAAAGUCAUUGAUUUGUGAAGUAGCACAAUGUGUCUUGUAUCAUCCUAUUGUUUGUGUCUGCAUUAGUGCUUUAAAGACAUUUAAUCAUUACAGAAGGGGCCUUUUACCAAAUAAAUGCAGCAGUGUUUAUGUUCACUUGGUAGCCAAGGCAAGGUGUAUUUGCAAGAGUGAAACGUAGAAACAUAGUUAAUAUUUAUCUGGCUGUAAUUGCUCCCCCAAAGAAAUCACUGACAAAUGGUUAAGACAGCGCUGUCAUUUUGCAGCUCUGUUUCUCCUGUUGAGCAAGGUUUUUUAUUUCCCUAAAAUCUGCAUCUGUUGUACAAUGACCAGAGAUCCAUUUAGAGUUUCAAGUGUACCUGAUCUGCUUUCUAGUUUUCAUUUACUAAUCAUGAACAAAAAUAUCAGAUAGUUCUUUAGGCUGUGCACUUACUGCUCCCUUUCUCUUGUAGAAUAAAGGUCAUUAUAGCUUAAGUAGAUAGGUAUGCAAGGAAAGAAUUUAAGGUGUUUGGGAAAGAAUGCUUAGAUAUUGUUUUUCACAAUUGACAACCCUUGAUCCAUGUGUAAUCAGGAAAGGGUGAAUCUCAUCAUUUCCAAAAAUGCCACUGUAUAGAGACUUUGUAUCUGCUUUGAUGGGAAUCAUGCCAUUGUUUUGCCUGAUUUUGUGAGAACUAUGUUUUUUCUGUUCGUAUGAAAUUAGCUGCAUUUAAACAUUUGAUGAUCAUUGUUGUAGUUAUCAACAUAUCUCGCAUUUCUCUUGUAAACAGUGUAUGUCUAUCUCUUGAAAGUUUGACAUGCUGGUUUUUUUUUUUGGUUUUUUUUUAAUCUAAUUCUUCUUCCACCUAUAUAGCAGAAGAUUGUUGUAUUUUCUGUUUCUUAGUUAGAAAUCUGUCCAAUAUCUUACCUUGGCUGUCAGUUAUGUUUAUACAACAAUAUAUACAAUUUCUCAGAAAUACACAGUGCAGGUGAAGACGAGGAUCUCUUAAAUUCACACUGCAGCACAUUUUAAGGUUUCACAUUCUAUUGAUGGCAUCUGUUUACAGGGCUGGACACUUUAUGGUGAUAUAUAGUCUUAGUUGCUGGCUCUGUGUAAAACACUAAUUUCCUCCCCACCCCUCUCACAUUCUAUUGAGGAAAGAUGUGUAAACGGCCUUAAGCAAAGUUCCACAUUAAAAAUAAGAUUUAUUGCAUUAUAUAAAGAGUUGUUGGCUUGUGUUUCAGCUGUAUAGAAAAACAAACUACAUAGUUUAAAAUUUGUGGGAUAAUUCAUCACCAAAACCAUUGUUACUUAAUAAGUCUUUAAGGGAAAUAGCCUUAGGCUGCCUUACUCUCAUGGGCUUAGCUCUCGUCUCAGGCAUUUUGUUCUUUUUCUGCAUGUGGCAUCAGUGAUAUAGCCUUAGUUGCUGGCUUGGUGUAAUACACCAUUGCUUCCCACCUCCCCAUCUGGCUGCCUUAAGGUCUGUUCCACAAGGAGUAGGGAUUGCAUAAAUAAUAAAAACAGUAUUUUGCGGUGCUUCUUUUUGUGCCUUUAGCUAAGGCAUUGGGAAGUUUUCAGUUCGGUGUGUUCAGUUGCAAGCUAUGCUGUAAAGACAAUUCUUCCUUUAAAAACCUCAACAAAAAAUGUGGAGGCUGUGGCAAAAGAAGGAAGUGAAAAACCACCUCAGAAUUUAACAAACCUGAAAAUAAGGUACAUGCUGUUUAAAAAAAAAUUAUUUAAUCUAUCAUCAUAAUUUUGAACAGCUUUAAAGUGAUCAUUUAAUUUUUACAUUAAAAUAUGCAUUUAAAGAUAAGUUUUGUGGUAAGUUGCUUAAAAAUAUAUACUCCUUUUUAUCUUUGUGCAUUGUAAACUACUUGGAGACUCAUUGUAACAUUCCAGGAGUCAUAAGUUUUUGUGAUUUUCUUUCUGCAAACUUCAAAUAUAAAACAUUUGGGUCUGUAUCAUGCCAAAUUGUCAAAAGUAACUUGGGUUGUAUAGAGCUGCCUAAAGAUAUGAUUAUAAUGGCAUACUGUAGCAGCAGAUGUAAAGGUACAGAUUACUCAUGCAGUAAAUUCUUGUACCAACAGUUUAAACUUUAGGCUACUAGUUGCAAAUUCUCUUGCACGAAUCCCCUCAUACCCUUACAUUGUUGCAUUAAAUGAUGUCUGGGUAAAUCAAGGAUGAUUGUGUGAGAUAUAUCUAUAAAUACCUUUUUUUUUUUUUUUUUUUUUUUGUAAAUUUCAUUUCUACAUCUUUGUGAACAUUUUGUUCGCUUUAUGAUAUAAUAAAAAGGGGCAAGAGGAAAAAUGGAAAGCUUCGAAUAUGAAAUUAAUGUUAACACCUGCUGAUGUACAUUGACUUUCAUAAAUGCAGUUUUGUAUAUUUAUACUAUGGUCAUUAUCAACCUCGGGUUGGUCCGAUAGCGCAACGAAUAGCGCCUGUCACUAGUACAGUGAGGAUUGGCUGUCAUGGGUUGAGAUCUCGUCUCGAGCGUGGGCAUUUGUUUACAGGGCUGACUGCUUUGCCGUUAUAUAGCCUUAAUUACUGGCUCGGCGUAAAACGCCUCCCCCUUCCUCAUUAUAAAGUUUAUACAUUACACAUUACAAACUGAAAAAAACAUGCUGGAGGAGCAUUGUAGACGGAGAAAGGUGAUGAUGCACACGUUUUGCUAUUUUGAUUUUUAAGAUUUUUUGUGUAAAAGUUUUUUUCAAAACAAAAAACGUAGAACCAGCUAGAUUAUUUCAUGCGGAUGCCAAGCAAUUGUUUGACAUGAUGCUUCUUUUUUUUCUGCUUUUCUCAGAAUGAGUUCCAGCAUAAUUGUAGAGCAUAGCCCUUAUGCAUCCUCCUUCCCUGGGUCAUCUCAUGACCUCGGUAGCUUGGCAUACAAUGCCAACCGCCCUUAUCCAUUCAACCAUAGAAAGUUUCGGUGAUUAAAAGUUCGGCAUGCACAUCUAAACAGAUUUUCAAGAAAGAUAGAAUGGAAAGGAUGUCUUUAUCAUUAAAUGUGCUUAUAUGCCCUUUAUCACAUUUGAUGGGGACAACAUCACAAAAAUAAAUCACACGGCAUAGAGGUGGGGGCAAGACAUGCUACUUGAUGUCCAAAGCAUGGAUGUGUAUAGGUGGGCUGCUGUCUGUCUGCCAAGACCAACGCUUAGCCUUUUGCAAAGUUCUCCCUUGCUUGUCUCGGCGAACAGUAACAAUGAAUGUGAUUAAACCGGAAGCUUUGUAUACUCCUGCCUCAUUUUAGUAGUAAACUGGAAAAAAAUCGUCUGCCAGCAGUCCAGUAAUACAAGUUCUUGGUCCAAAGUACUAUUGCUUUAUUCGACCUGAAGUUUCAAGUAGCGGUCUUCAUAUUAAUCUGAGCAAGCUUGGAACCAAGUACAGUAUAAAGCUUGAAGGAAUCGAACAACUAAAUGCUGGAGGUGGAGGGGCAAAUCAAACACUAGGCUGGGUACUUGACUGCAAAAUUUUAAAAAUUGUGAUGUGACUGAAGGUUUUUUUUUUUAAGUAUUGGCAUAAUAUUUAUCAGUCUCAGCUGACAACAUUUUUCGUUGAAAAUGCAUGUGAUAAAAGGAGUCGCAUGGAAUGUGAAAAUAAUGCCUUGCUAAAUAUGCCAAAUUUGAAUUCAUCAAUUUUGCGUCUACUUAAGUUUUAAGUUUGCCUCUUAUUUCCGGUCUUCCACCACUUUCCCAGAUCAGCCAGCCUCGACAUCUCUUGUUGCCUCAGGAUAAUUCUUAGUCGAAUUUGUUUACUUAACUGAGAAACUGAUGAGAGUGUGAAUUGAUUACAGUUAAAAAGAAAACGAAACUUGUCAUUUUAAGUCCUGGAAUGGCAGUGAAUCCACUGCAACAAAAAGGGUGUGUUAGAGAAAUGUUAACUGUCAAUAAUUAAACCGUUUUGCACUUAAUGAGGUAUGAGUGGGGGGAGGGGGGAGGCGAGAUGUGCCAACAGAAAAUGUUCUGAAUAAUAUUGGUUUGAGAGUUGGGGGGGGGGUUUGAAGGUGUUUUGUGAGUGAAUAUGAACGGUUUUAAAAGCCAUUAUUAGACAAAUCGCUUUAUUUUCGCGAGUGUUAACUGUGCACACGUGAAAUUUUCCAUUCAUGCAUGCACACACGUCAGUGUUGCCUUUAGUGAUGUUUCUAUACGCUUCUCUAAUAGUCACCAGUGCCAUCUUGUGGCAGCCGUACACUUUUGAAGAGUUUGUUGGUAUGCGGUGAACGUGUGAAGUACAAUUGAACACGGAAUAGUUCGUAAUCGGGAGUAAACAUUCAUGUGUAUAGUAGACACCGUUUUAAGGCAUUUUCAUUGCUGUUGUUAGUGUGCUUUGUUAAAAUGACACUUAUGUCCAUGAAUGUUUGCUUGUAUAAAAGAAUAAACAUUUGGGUUUCAUAACUUGA
This 8809-nucleotide unclassified non-coding RNA is filed under the name Pomacea canaliculata. Its description in RNAcentral is "forkhead box protein K1-like, transcript variant X3". The record is from RNAcentral. Lineage: Eukaryota; Metazoa; Mollusca; Gastropoda; Architaenioglossa; Ampullariidae.